CCUACGGGAGGCUGCAGUGAGGAAUAUUGGUCAAUGGCCGGAAGGCUGAACCAGCCAUGCCGCGUGAAGGUCAGUGCCCUAUGGGCGUUAAACUUCUUUUGUGCGGGAGCAAUAAUGGUCACGUGUGGCCAGACGAGAGUACCGUACGAAUAAGCAUCGGCUAACUCCGUGCCAGCAGCCGCGGUAAUACGGGGGAUGCAAGCGUUAUCCGGAUUUAUUGGGUUUAAAGGGUGCGUAGGCUGGGAGGUAAGUCAGCGGUGAAAUGCCCCCGCGCAACGGGGUGAAGUGCCAUUGAUACUGCCUGGCUGGAAUGCGGAUGCCGUGGGAGGAAUGUGUGGUGUAGCGGUGAAAUGCAUAGAUAUCACACAGAACACCGAUUGCGAAGGCAUCUCACGAAUCCGCGAUUGACGCUGAUGCACGAAAGCGUGGGUAUCAAACAGGAUUAGAUACCCCAGUAGUC
This 460-nucleotide ribosomal RNA is filed under the name uncultured bacterium. Its description in RNAcentral is "partial 16S ribosomal RNA". It matches the Rfam family "Bacterial small subunit ribosomal RNA", at positions 338 to 795 of the family's 1533-position model. The record is from RNAcentral.